GGCGGUUCUUGGGUGACACACCCUGGAAUCAGGCUCCCUCUUCUCUGGUUUCAGAUGAGUCACCCGAGGACCACU
Non-coding RNA from Myotis lucifugus (little brown bat), 75 nucleotides. The record is from Rfam. NCBI's taxonomy places the organism in Eukaryota, Metazoa, Chordata, Mammalia, Chiroptera, Vespertilionidae.